Molecule: small RNA, 131 nt
Filed under: Acetivibrio thermocellus
Lineage: Bacteria; Bacillati; Bacillota; Clostridia; Acetivibrionales; Acetivibrionaceae
Also listed under: 1 other name
Description: Clostridium thermocellum c-di-AMP sequence
Rfam family: c-di-AMP riboswitch aptamer (ydaO/yuaA leader)
About the family: This family represents a conserved RNA structure found upstream of the ydaO and yuaA genes in Bacillus subtilis and related genes in other bacteria.
Source: RNAcentral
AGAUUUUAAGCGCUUAAUCAGUUUUGAGCGGGGGAACCAUUUUUUGGGGUGAAUCUUGGUUUUUGCCAGGUAGGGUUAACUCUUUCGACCCGAACCCGUCAGCUAACCUCGUAGGCGUUGAUAGAGGAGUA